RNAcentral lists this ribosomal RNA (254 nucleotides) under uncultured bacterium. RNAcentral describes it as "partial 16S ribosomal RNA". It matches the Rfam family "Bacterial small subunit ribosomal RNA", at positions 524 to 776 of the family's 1533-position model. The record is from RNAcentral.
UACGGAGGGUGCAAGCGUUGUUCGGAAUUAUUGGGCGUAAAGCGCGCGCAGGCGGUCUGAAAAGUCUAUGGGUGAAAUACCGGGGCUCAACCCCGCGUAUGCCCAGGAUACUGUCAGACUGGAGACACGUAGAGGCAAGCGGAAUUUCGGGUGUAGCGGUGGAAUGCGUAGAUAUCCGAAAGAACACCGGAGGCGAAGGCGGCUUGCUGGGCGUGAUCUGACGCUGAGGCGCGAAAGCGUGGGGAGCGAACAGG